This 357-nucleotide ribosomal RNA is filed under the name Triticum aestivum (bread wheat). RNAcentral describes it as "partial small subunit ribosomal RNA". Lineage: Eukaryota; Viridiplantae; Streptophyta; Magnoliopsida; Poales; Poaceae. The record is from RNAcentral.
AUGAAUCUCAUCAGUUGGAACUGCCGGGGAGGGGGGAACGCCUGGACAGUUCGUGAAAUUGCGACGAUCUCCCAGUCGCAUUCCCCCAAGCUGAUCUUCCUCUGCGAGACAAGGCAAAAAGCAACAAAGAUGAGGAGGAUACGAGCUCAUACUGGUUUGAAGGGUUUCGUUGGUGUUGGCAGUAAUGGUAUGAGUGGUGGUUUGGCGCUUUUUUGGCAUGAAUCUUAUGUGGUAGAAAUUCUGGGCACGGAGGACAGAUACAUCGAUGUGUUAGUCAGAGAACACGCGGAUGCAGCUCAAUGGAGGGUUACUUUUGUGUAUGGCGAACCGCGGGUCGAGAAUCGUCAUCUCAUGUGA